UACAGAGGGGGCAAGCGUUGUUCGGAAUUACUGGGCGUAAAGCGUGCGUAGGCGGCAGCGUGUGUCGGGCGUGAAAUCCCCAGGCUCAACCUGGGAACUGCGUCUGAUACUGGUUGGCUUGAAUUCGGGAGAGGGAUGCAGAAUUCCAGGUGUAGCGGUGAAAUGCGUAGAUAUCUGGAGGAAUACCGGUGGCGAAGGCGGCAUCCUGGACCGAGAUUGACACUGAGGAGCGAAAGCCAGGGGAGCAAACGGG
Molecule: ribosomal RNA, 253 nt
Filed under: uncultured bacterium
Lineage: Bacteria
Description: partial 16S ribosomal RNA
Rfam family: Bacterial small subunit ribosomal RNA
Source: RNAcentral